AAACGUAUUUUUAAAUAUUUAAAGCGGGUUUUUGAUAGACAGCAAUUUUUGAAAUUCGAGUAAAAGUUAACAAAAUGAGCGAAAAUCAAACUUGUUGUUUUCUAAAGCAACUGAUAAUAACUUAAACUAAGUAAAACUCUGUGAUUAGGAUUACAGACGUUUUUGACAUCAUUAAUUUCAUAUAUCUAUGCUUACUUCUUACCAAACAGCAAAUCAUAACAAUAUUUGCCCCAAAUACCACCAUCUGCGGAAACACAGCUUUUGAGCACUUCUUCCUUUGUAUGUGGUCAAAAUAAGAUUGAAGGAACACAGUUCUUAAGAAUGUGAAAACAUGUAAAAUGAAAAAAUAUAUGCGAGUAUCAUGCUUUUGCUAGAAAUUAAGCAGGAGAAACUUUGACCUUUAAAUGUGCAUCGUAACUGCCAGACUGAAAUAAGCAUCUUUCGACUUUUCUUAUUGUUUGAUUUGUUAUUUCCUUAUAAACAUUGAUGUACAUGUCGUGAAAAGACGUUUAUCUAUAUAAUGUCAACCAUAAACAAAUAUAGACAAAAAUUAAUAAGAAAUAAAUUUGUGAAAAUAACAAUUUCAAAGAAUUAACUUACAAGUAUACAAAUUAGACACUUGUCUUCU
This 628-nucleotide long non-coding RNA is filed under the name Mytilus galloprovincialis (Mediterranean mussel). Lineage: Eukaryota; Metazoa; Mollusca; Bivalvia; Mytilida; Mytilidae. The record is from RNAcentral.